CCUACGGGAGGCUGCAGUGGGGAAUAUUGGACAAUGGGCGAAAGCCUGAUCCAGCCAUGCCGCGUGUGUGAAGAAGGCCUUCGGGUUGUAAAGCACUUUCAGUGGGGAAGAAAGCCUUGGGGCUAAUACCCUCGAGGAAGGACAUCACCCACAGAAGAAGCACCGGCUAACUCCGUGCCAGCAGCCGCGGUAAUACGGAGGGUGCGAGCGUUAAUCGGAAUUACUGGGCGUAAAGCGCGCGUAGGCGGUCUGAUAAGCCGGUUGUGAAAGCCCCGGGCUCAACCUGGGAACGGCAUCCGGAACUGUCAGGCUAGAGUGCAGGAGGGGAAGGUAGAAUUCCCGGUGUAGCGGUGAAAUGCGUAGAGAUCGGGAGGAAUACCAGUGGCGAAGGCGGCCUUCUGGACUGACACUGACGCUGAGGUGCGAAAGCGUGGGUAGCAAACAGGAUUAGAUACCCGAGUAGUC
RNAcentral lists this ribosomal RNA (465 nucleotides) under Vreelandella stevensii. RNAcentral's name for it is "partial 16S ribosomal RNA". It matches the Rfam family "Bacterial small subunit ribosomal RNA", at positions 338 to 795 of the family's 1533-position model. The record is from RNAcentral. Lineage: Bacteria; Pseudomonadati; Pseudomonadota; Gammaproteobacteria; Oceanospirillales; Halomonadaceae.